CAAUAGCGUAUAUUGAAGUUGUUGCGGUUAAAAAGCUCGUCGUUGGAUUUCUGUUGAGGUCGAACAGUGCCGCCCUAUGGGUGCGCAACUGGCUCGGCUUCGGCAUCUUCUUGGAGAGCGCAUCUGCACUUAACUGUGUGGAUCGUACUUCAAGUCAGUUACUUUGAGGAAUUGUGAGUGUUUCAAGCAGGCUUACGCCGUUGAAUCCGUUAGCAUGGAAUAAUAGGAUAGGACCUCGGUUCUAUUUUGUUGGUUUUGAGAGCUGGGGCAGCGAUUGAUAGGGACGGAUGGGGGCGUCCGAACUUUCCUGUCAGAGGUGAAAUUCUUAGAUCGGUCAAAGGCGAACUACUGCGAACGCAUUCGCCAAGAAUGUUUUCUUUAA
Molecule: ribosomal RNA, 382 nt
Filed under: uncultured eukaryote
Lineage: Eukaryota
Description: partial 18S ribosomal RNA
Rfam family: Eukaryotic small subunit ribosomal RNA
Source: RNAcentral